GUAAGGAAUAUUGGUCAAUGGAGGCAACUCUGAACCAGCCAUGCCGCGUGCAGGAAGACGGCCCUCUGGGUUGUAAACUGCUUUUAUUCGGGAAUAAACCUACUUACGUGUAAGUAGCUGAAUGUACCGAAGGAAUAAGGAUCGGCUAACUCCGUGCCAGCAGCCGCGGUAAUACGGAGGAUCCAAGCGUUAUCCGGAUUUAUUGGGUUUAAAGGGUGCGUAGGCGGCCUGUUAAGUCAGGGGUGAAAGACGGUAGCUCAACUAUCGCAGUGCCCUUGAUACUGAUGGGCUUGAAUGGACUAGAGGUAGGCGGAAUGAGACAAGUAGCGGUGAAAUGCAUAGAUAUGUCUCAGAACACCGAUUGCGAAGGCAGCUUACUAUGGUCUUAUUGACGCUGAGGCACGAAAGCGUGGGGAUCAAACAGGAUUAGAUACCCCUGUAGUCC
RNAcentral lists this ribosomal RNA (445 nucleotides) under uncultured Pedobacter sp. Its description in RNAcentral is "bacterial SSU rRNA". It matches the Rfam family "Bacterial small subunit ribosomal RNA", at positions 354 to 796 of the family's 1533-position model. Lineage: Bacteria; Pseudomonadati; Bacteroidota; Sphingobacteriia; Sphingobacteriales; Sphingobacteriaceae. The record is from RNAcentral.